GGUUGAUCCUGCCAGUAGUCAUAUGCUUGUCUCAAAGAUUAAGCCAUGCAUGUCUAAGUAUAAACAAAUUCAUACUGUGAAACUGCGAAUGGCUCAUUAAAUCAGUUAUAGUUUAUUUGAUGGUAUCUUGCUACAUGGAUAACUGUGGUAACUCUAGAGCUAAUACAUGCUUAAAAGCCCCGACUUCUGGAAGGGGUGUAUUUAUUAGAUAAAGAACCAAUGCUUUUCGGAGCUCCUUGGUGAUUCAUAAUAACUUCUCGAAUCGUAUGGCCUUGCGCCGACGAUGCUUCAUU
This 293-nucleotide ribosomal RNA is filed under the name uncultured eukaryote. Its description in RNAcentral is "partial 18S ribosomal RNA". It matches the Rfam family "Eukaryotic small subunit ribosomal RNA", at positions 6 to 299 of the family's 1831-position model. The record is from RNAcentral.